UAAUACGUAGGGGGCAAGCGUUAUCCGGAUUUACUGGGUGUAAAGGGAGCGUAGACGGCAAGGCAAGUCUGAUGUGAAAACCCAGGGCUUAACCCUGGGACUGCAUUGGAAACUGUCUGGCUCGAGUGCCGGAGAGGUAAGCGGAAUUCCUAGUGUAGCGGUGAAAUGCGUAGAUAUUAGGAAGAACACCAGUGGCGAAGGCGGCUUACUGGACGGUAACUGACGUUGAGGCUCGAAAGCGUGGGGAGCAAACAGG
This 256-nucleotide ribosomal RNA is filed under the name uncultured bacterium. RNAcentral's name for it is "partial 16S ribosomal RNA". It matches the Rfam family "Bacterial small subunit ribosomal RNA", at positions 521 to 776 of the family's 1533-position model. The record is from RNAcentral.